UGAAGUCGGAAUUGCUAGUAAUCGCGGAUCAGCAUGCCGCGGUGAAUACGUUCCCGGGCCUUGUACACACCGCCCGUCACACCAUGAGAGUCGAUAACACCCGAAGCCUGUAGUCUAACAGCAAUGAGGACGCAGUCGAAGGUGGGAUUGAUAAUUAGGGUGAAGUCGUAACAAGGUAGC
RNAcentral lists this ribosomal RNA (180 nucleotides) under uncultured bacterium. Its description in RNAcentral is "partial 16S ribosomal RNA". It matches the Rfam family "Bacterial small subunit ribosomal RNA", at positions 1321 to 1500 of the family's 1533-position model. The record is from RNAcentral.